GGUAGACUCAAAAUUAGUUUGUAAUUCUCUGAUUUAAUUUCCUUUACAUGUAAAACGGAACAAAUAAACUGCUCUAAGUGCAUUGAUGUGAGAAUUAUAAUUAAUAGGAUAGAUGUCAUUUGCCUGACCCAGGCAUGGCACAUCAGAGACCAUCCAUAAGUGACAGCUAUAAUCACCAUCAUGUUUUUAACAAAAUCCAGAUUUGAAGUUUCAUAUGGCAGCAAUAACACAAGUACCAUGAGAAUAAACUGAAUAACAGUGUGAAUCAUUCAAAAUACAUAGGUCCAAUACUGAUGUCUUUGGCUAAUAUUUGGAUUUUGUUUCCCAUUUCCAGUUGUCAAAAGUCUAAGGCCCUGUGUUCACUCUGUAUUUGGGCAUGAAGCCGACUGUGGUGUUGCAUGGAUAUGAAGCUGUGAGGGAAGCCCUGGUUGACCUUGGAGAGGAGUUUUCUGGAAG
Molecule: long non-coding RNA, 456 nt
Filed under: Marmota monax (woodchuck)
Lineage: Eukaryota; Metazoa; Chordata; Mammalia; Rodentia; Sciuridae
Source: RNAcentral